Molecule: ribosomal RNA, 454 nt
Filed under: uncultured organism
Description: partial 16S ribosomal RNA
Rfam family: Bacterial small subunit ribosomal RNA
Source: RNAcentral
ACGUACACUCCUACGGGAGGCAGCAGUGGAGAAUAUUGGACAAUGGGCGCAAGCCUGAUCCAGCCAUGCCGCGUGAGUGAUGAAGGCCCUAGGGUUGUAAAGCUCUUUCACCGGUGAAGAUAAUGACGGUAACCGGAGAAGAAGCCCCGGCUAACUUCGUGCCAGCAGCCGCGGUAAUACGAAGGGGGCUAGCGUUGUUCGGAUUUACUGGGCGUAAAGCGCACGUAGGCGGACUAUUAAGUCAGGGGUGAAAUCCCGGGGCUCAACCCCGGAACUGCCUUUGAUACUGGUAGUCUUGAGUUCGAGAGAGGUGAGUGGAAUUCCGAGUGUAGAGGUGAAAUUCGUAGAUAUUCGGAGGAACACCAGUGGCGAAGGCGGCUCACUGGCUCGAUACUGACGCUGAGGUGCGAAAGCGUGGGGAGCAAACAGGAUUAGAAACCCUGGUAGUCCCAUG